Molecule: ribosomal RNA, 128 nt
Filed under: uncultured eukaryote
Lineage: Eukaryota
Description: partial small subunit ribosomal RNA
Rfam family: Eukaryotic small subunit ribosomal RNA
Source: RNAcentral
CCCUGCCUUUUGUACACACCGCCCGUCGCUCCUACCGAUUGCGUGUGUUGGUGAGGAGCUCGGAUUGGUGCAGGGUGGCGGUUUCCGCUAUCUGUUGCUGGGAAGCCCUCCGAGCCGCCCCACUUAGA